RNAcentral lists this ribosomal RNA (501 nucleotides) under uncultured bacterium. Its description in RNAcentral is "bacterial SSU rRNA". It matches the Rfam family "Bacterial small subunit ribosomal RNA", at positions 29 to 508 of the family's 1533-position model. The record is from RNAcentral.
AAUCAACGCUGGCGGCGUGCCUAACACAUGCAAGUCGAACGCGAAAGCCCCGCAAGGGGCAAGUAGAGUGGCAAACGGGUGAGUAACACGUGGGUGACCUGCCUUCGAGUGGGGGAUAACGUCCCGAAAGGGACGCUAAUACCGCAUAACAUCCUGCUUUUGGACAAGCGGUGAUCAAAGCUGGGGAUCGUAAGACCUAGCGCUGGAAGAGGGGCCCGCGCCUGAUUAGCUAGUUGGUAGGGUAACGGCCUACCAAGGCGACGAUCAGUAUCCGGCCUGAGAGGGCGGACGGACACACUGGGACUGAGACACGGCCCAGACUCCUACGGGAGGCAGCAGUGGGGAAUUGUUCGCAAUGGGCGCAAGCCUGACGACGCAACGCCGCGUGGAGGACGAAGAUCUUCGGGUCGUAAACUCCUGUCGAGCGGGACGAACACCCACCGGGUGAACAAUCCGGAGGGCUGACGGUACCGCUAAAGGAAGCCCCGGCUAACUCCGUGC